Long non-coding RNA from Coregonus clupeaformis (lake whitefish), 465 nucleotides. RefSeq lists it as uncharacterized. NCBI's taxonomy places the organism in Eukaryota, Metazoa, Chordata, Actinopteri, Salmoniformes, Salmonidae. The transcript has 3 exons. The record is from RefSeq and is a predicted model, not a curated record.
GAUGGUAUCUAUGAUAUAUACAGUACUCUGUAAAGUCUCUCCUCCUGUCUGUGGUCAGGUAUGAUGGAGUGGACCAGUGUUGGUCUGGUAGUCAUGGUGACAGUGUUAGGACUGGUCCUGGUCCUGUUCUACAGACAGAGGAGAGGAACCAGGAGAACACCACCACCACCACCAGUCUCCUCCAACACACAACCUGACCCUACUGGAGAGGUUGACUGUGUGUAUGAGGAGAUCAGAGAGGCAGACAGACAGACAGACACACUUCCUGUGGUCAUCUCAUCAGUCUACUCUACUGUCAACUCGCCUACCAACUCUUCAACCUACCCUGCUGGUCAAGACUCUACAACCUACCCUGCUGACCACGCCUCUGCAACCUACACUGCUGGCCAAGCAUCUACAACAUACCCUGCUAGCUCCGCCACAGAUCAUCCAGCUUCUCUCAUCUACUCCAAUUUGAAUCUACCC